This 512-nucleotide ribosomal RNA is filed under the name uncultured bacterium. RNAcentral describes it as "partial 16S ribosomal RNA". It matches the Rfam family "Bacterial small subunit ribosomal RNA", at positions 28 to 507 of the family's 1533-position model. The record is from RNAcentral.
GAUGAACGCUGGCGGCGUGCCUAAUACAUGCAAGUCGAACGAAACUUCUUUAUCACCGAGUGCUUGCACUCACCGAUAAAGAGUUGAGUGGCGAACGGGUGAGUAACACGUGGGCAACCUGCCCAAAAGAGGGGGAUAACACUUGGAAACAGGUGCUAAUACCGCAUAACCAUAGUUACCGCAUGGUAACUAUGUAAAAGGUGGCUAUACUACCGCUUGUGGAUGGGCCCGCGGCGCAUUAGCUAGUUGGGAGGGUAAAGGCUUACCAAGGCAAUGAUGCGUAGCCGAAUUGAGAGGUUGAUCGGCCACAUUGGGACUGAGACACGGCCCAAACUCCUACGGGAGGCAGCAGUAGGGAAUCUUCCACAAUGGGCGAAAGCCUGAUGGAGCAACGCCGCGUGGGUGAAGAAGGUCUUCGGAUCGUAAAACCCUGUUGUUAGAGAAGAAAGUGCGUGAGAGUAACUGUUCACGUUUCGACGGUAUCUAACCAGAAAGCCACGGCUAACUACGUG